This 213-nucleotide ribosomal RNA is filed under the name Orbiliales sp. RNAcentral describes it as "partial large subunit ribosomal RNA". The record is from RNAcentral. Lineage: Eukaryota; Fungi; Ascomycota; Orbiliomycetes; Orbiliales.
AAGCGCUUGCCAUCAGAAUUGGUGCCGGUCGAUCAACCUUCCUUCUGGUUGGUGCACUCGUCCGGUUUCCAUGCCAGCAUCAGUUGGGACGGCAUGAUAAAGGCGGUGGGAAUGUGGCUCUCUUCGGGGAGUGUUAUAGCCCGCUGUGUAAUGAUGCCUGCCCCGACUGAGGACCGCGCUUUUGCAAGGAUGCUGGCCUAAUGGUUGUAAGCG